UACGUAGGGGGCGAGCGUUGUCCGGAUUUAUUGGGCGUAAAGAGCUCGUAGGCGGUUUGGCAAGUCGGGUGUGAAAACUCCGGCUCAACUCGGAGACGCCACUCGAUACUGCCAUGACUCGAGUCCGGUAGGGGAGUGCGGAAUUCCUGGUGUAGCGGUGAAAUGCGCAGAUAUCAGGAGGAACACCGGUGGCGAAGGCGGGUCUCUGGGCCGAUACUGACGCUGAGACGCGAAAGCGUGGGGAGCGAACAGG
This 253-nucleotide ribosomal RNA is filed under the name uncultured bacterium. RNAcentral describes it as "partial 16S ribosomal RNA". It matches the Rfam family "Bacterial small subunit ribosomal RNA", at positions 524 to 776 of the family's 1533-position model. The record is from RNAcentral.